GACGAACGCUGGCGGCGUGCCUAAUACAUGCAAGUCGAGCGGACCUUUUAAAAGCUUGCUUUUGAAAGGUCAGCGGCGGACGGGUGAGUAACACGUGGGCAACCUGCCUGUAAGACUGGGAUAACUUCGGGAAACCGGAGCUAAUACCGGAUAAUAUAAGGAACCUCCUGGUUCUUUAUUGAAAGAUGGUUUCGGCUAUCACUUACAGAUGGGCCCGCGGCGCAUUAGCUAGUUGGUGAGGUAACGGCUCACCAAGGCGACGAUGCGUAGCCGACCUGAGAGGGUGAUCGGCCACACUGGGACUGAGACACGGCCCAGACUCCUACGGGAGGCAGCAGUAGGGAAUCUUCCACAAUGGACGAAAGUCUGAUGGAGCAACGCCGCGUGAGCGAUGAAGGCCUUCGGGUCGUAAAGCUCUG
Molecule: ribosomal RNA, 419 nt
Filed under: Bacillus sp. R-23072
Lineage: Bacteria; Bacillati; Bacillota; Bacilli; Caryophanales; Bacillaceae
Description: bacterial SSU rRNA
Rfam family: Bacterial small subunit ribosomal RNA
Source: RNAcentral